Pelobates cultripes (western spadefoot toad) is the source of this 244-nucleotide non-coding RNA. Lineage: Eukaryota; Metazoa; Chordata; Amphibia; Anura; Pelobatidae. The record is from the annotation of a GenBank genome assembly.
GCUAAACGGACAGGGGCAAUGUACAUAGACCACUUUAUUGAGAUGAAUUGGUCUGGGUGCAUUAAGUGUCCCUUUAAAAUGAACCUGUCACAAUAUAUUCUCUUUACCAUGACUUAUAGACUCAGUUCAUUACUUCAGUCUACCAUACUUUUCUGUAAAAGAGAAAUUCAUAGGAAAAUGCAUUUUUAUCUGCAUGUUUCUUUUAAAAGCUUUUUAGAAAUCAGUAAAGUGACUUCCAUUCAAU